Small nuclear RNA from Pteronotus mesoamericanus, 159 nucleotides. RefSeq annotates it as U1 spliceosomal RNA. The transcript has a single exon. The record is from RefSeq and is a predicted model, not a curated record. Lineage: Eukaryota; Metazoa; Chordata; Mammalia; Chiroptera; Mormoopidae.
ACACUUAUCUAAGAGAUAACAUGAUCACAAAGGUGUUUUUCCCAGGGUGAGGUUUAUCCAUUGCACUCCGGAUGAGCUGACGCCUGCAAUUUCCCUAAAUGUGGGAAAUUUGACUGCAUAAUUUGUGCUGGUGGGGGACUGCAUUCGUGCUCUCCCCUG